AUUGAACGCUGGCGGAAUGCUUUACACAUGCAAGUCGAACGGCAGCACGGGGGCAACCCUGGUGGCGAGUGGCGAACGGGUGAGUAAUACAUCGGAACGUGCCCGGUCGUGGGGGAUAACGUAGCGAAAGUUACGCUAAUACCGCAUACGAUCUGAGGAUGAAAGCGGGGGACCUUCGGGCCUCGCGCGAUCGGAGCUGCCGAUGUCAGAUUAGGUAGUUGGUGGGGUAAAGGCCUACCAAGCCGACGAUCUGUAGCUGGUCUGAGAGGACGACCAGCCACACUGGGACUGAGACACGGCCCAGACUCCUACGGGAGGCAGCAGUGGGGAAUUUUGGACAAUGGGCGCAAGCCUGAUCCAGCCAUUCCGCGUGAAGGACGAAGGCCUUCGGGUUGUAAACUGCUUUUGUAUGGAACGAAAAGGCUCUGGCUAAUACCUGGGGCUCAUGACGGUACCGUAAGAAUAAGCACCGGCUAACUACGUG
Molecule: ribosomal RNA, 484 nt
Filed under: uncultured bacterium
Lineage: Bacteria
Description: partial 16S ribosomal RNA
Rfam family: Bacterial small subunit ribosomal RNA
Source: RNAcentral